ACCUGGGGUAGAGGUGCUGUAAUUAAUAGUAUUUAUUCUUAGCGGCCGCGCGAUGAGGAAUAAAGAAAGGAAUUAUAGCCGAAGAAGAAUAAUGUAGGAAGUUAUCUUCUGGCUUUGUAUAAAAUAUAUGCAAAGUUGUCACUAUAAUGGUGGAGAGCUACAGAGGUU
This 168-nucleotide non-coding RNA is filed under the name Clostridium sp. RNAcentral describes it as "Lysine sequence". It matches the Rfam family "Lysine riboswitch aptamer". From Rfam's summary of the family: Riboswitches are metabolite binding domains within certain messenger RNAs that serve as precision sensors for their corresponding targets. Allosteric rearrangement of mRNA structure is mediated by ligand binding, and this results in modulation of gene expression. Lineage: Bacteria; Bacillati; Bacillota; Clostridia; Eubacteriales; Clostridiaceae. The record is from RNAcentral. RNAcentral also lists the same sequence under 1 other name.